UUUUUUUUUUUUUGGUAUGCCUGAGAUACGUGGAAGUCCUGGACCAGGGAUCUAACCUGCACUACAGCAGUGACCAUGCCAGAUCCUUAACUUGCUAAGCCACCAGGUUACUCCCUGAAUUGUACACUUUAAAAUGGUCAGAUGAUGAAUUUAAUGUUAUGUGAAUUUCACCCCCACUUAAAAAAAAAAUGAGGUAGGGAAAACAAUAUUUUCCAUAAAAGAAAUCAUUGACAUCAUUUAACAUUGAGGCACCCACAGUGGGCGAUCUUCAGUGAAUGAAAGUGUGGUUAUGUUUAGUUUAAAACAGUGCUAACAAUUUAAAUUAUUUGCACCAGAAGCAAAUCUAUCGUAGCUCUUGGUUCAGGUUACAUUGGGAUGACAUUAGUUAAUGAUACUUUAAUUUUCGGAUAAACAGUUUCAUAACUGAAGUAAAAAAAAAUCCAAACUUUUGAAGGGAAUGACCUCUUGGUUGGAAUUGGAUCUGCUGGGUGCUCCCAUUUCCAAUAGGCCCAGAAGUGACUUCAUUGGAAGCAUCUGUACUGUUAGCCAGGUAAUCCAUAUGCAAAUGAGGGAUUCAGAUGCCCUGCAGCGGCCGUGAUAAAAUGAUUAAACAGUCAGUUGCAAUGCUCUUUUCCUUCCGGAAUCGAGGUAGCCAACAAUCUUGCUAGAUAAAUAAUGAAGGUGUGACUAAAAAUGUAGAAACACAUUUCCAAACAGCUUUUCUCCUCGGAUGUGGUCACCUGAGGAUGGAACGGGCCCUUUCUAGCAAUACUGCCAAUUCCUGAAAUCUAUUCAUAAUUUUCUGUUGGAACAGAGCGAAAAUUUUUCUGUUGGAAAGAAGAUUUCCUAUCUUAUAGUCACUUUUUUUGUUUGUUUGUUUGUUUGUUUUUCCAAAAAAAGGUUUUGUUUUCAAGUGGCAUUACUUAGCUCGUUUACCAAACUUCGUACCAAAAAAACGUUGGGCUGCUUACCCAAAUCAGUGUUAUCCGCAAAGGACAAAAAUUUGUCACCCUCAGAUGUAUUCAAAAGAAUGUGCCAGAGGCUCUAGGAACAAUUCCAAGAGAGGAGUAUAAAACAUUUUUUGGAAUGAUGGGAAGAUAUAAUUUAAAUAAGUGCUUCGCCUUCCAAAAUGACUACUCCCUCCUAGGACAGGACGACACCCGUUUAGAUAUGUUUAUUUAAAAAUCAGUCACCAUUACUUGAUGGUUGAAUGGUGUGUUAAUUUUUCUAAUAAGGAGGAUGACACAUCUGGGGUUGCGUGGCUCUGUUCUGUCUCCUCCUCAUCAUUACGUAGGUGGAUUCUAAUUCUUUCUUAUAAAUAAAAUAGCCAUCAACUUGCCAUUACCUUCCUUUAUUAGUUGUGUGUGUGUGUGUGUGUGUGUGUGUGUGUGUGUGUGUGUGUGAGUGUGUGAUGUUUUAACUGCCCCAAAGCACUUUGACCUAUUUUAUCUCACUUUCCGCUUACAAUAGCCUGACCAGGAACACCCAGUAUUCACCUCGCUCCCAUAGCAGGAGGAAGCCGAAGGAAAGAAAACCUUUUGUACUCAAAACCUCAUCCAGCCCGGCCAGUUGCAGAGCCAAAAGAGAAAUCCCCCUGCCCCCACUUUUGAGUCUGAAUCCAGUGCUCCUUCUGAUAUGCCAAAAUCCAGGCGGUGCUCCAACCACCACCCACCUCUCAUCCCCCCCACCCCCCACCCCCUGCCACCGCUGCCAAGUGCCCAGGUGCCUGAAGAUCAAAUUUAAGAAACAGGGAGCUAACUGUACUUAACCAUGGGGCUCCACAGAGCCCCGUAGUUAAGUUUGUUUGUUUAUUGGUUGGUUGGUUGGUUGGUCCGUUUUCCCAGCCCCUUUUGCGCUAACUGCCACCUUAAGGCUUACCAGCUCUUAGGCUGAUUCUGGUAAGAUCUGCUGUGAUGGAGCUCAGCCUCUGGUUUGUAAAAUGUUCCAGGUGGUUGAUGUAGAAAUAAAAAAAGAGGAGCCACACUUCUGGCAAUAUUUACGGGCUGGCCUAAGCCCCAGAUGUUCCCAACACGUGAGUUCAAUAGGGAAAGGCAACUUUUUUGGUAAAUGAACGGUGAUGGUGCCCUUCCCAGAACAAGCCUCUCAUGUGGAAAGCUUUGUCGGAAACUCGGCAUGUGGAGCUGCGUUGUUGGUGGGUUUUGUUGCUGUCAUUAUUAAUGGGAAACAUGGCCUUAAUUACUGAUUGUAUUUUUCUCAGCCUCCAAGAAGGAUCGGAGAGCUGCGGUUGACCAGCUGUGACCUCACUCAGCUUCUCCGAAGCUUCUCCGCUUGGAGAAACUUACACCUUGCUUACUGCAUCGGCCGGAUUUAUGGGCAGUCUAUUUAUAUAACACUAAACACAAGGCUUUGCUUGUAAAUCUGAGAUGCUUUCUGGGAAUCUCAAAACAUCCCGCUCAGUCUCUUCCCUUGAUUUCCCCUUAAAGCUUUUCGAGAUGAGGGAUACUUUUUAUAUUUUAUUGCCUGUCGAUGGGCUGCCCCUUGCUUGUAACAGGUCAAGGUCCUGUAACAUUCAUUCCGUUUCUCCAAAGAGGUUUCAGUGUGCGAAGUCUCAGUUGAUUCCUGUGUCUUAAAAUCCUCUGCUCCCAAUCCAGCUGCAGCAGUUCACUUUUCCUUAGAACCUGGACUAGCAGGCCUGGGCCUGCUGCUUCCAGGAACCAUGCUUGUGGCUAGCUGGCUAGCCAGGUAGUAUCACGUGUCAUGGCCUCUAGACCUAGCCUUUGCCCAAGGAUAAAUGCCAAGAUGAGUUGACCAGUGAAGCAGUAAGAGCUCACACGGGGACACAGAGAAGUGGUCCACGUGGCCUUUGUUAGACUGUGGCAGCUUGGCUUCCCCAGAGCCAAGAAGGUCCUUGGUGCAUCUGUCUCCAAACUCCUGUGUCCGCUGUUAAGGAAAAGAAGGGCUUGCGCAUGGCAGGAUUCAGGGACUGGUAGCAACGGCCGGGUCAGAAUCACAGAGUCAGAGUUCUAGAAGAUGAGUACUGUGGAGGUCUGGCUCCUGCCUUCAUUGCUAACUAGCUCCCUUCCCACAGUGGGAGGGUUACACCAGGCCCACAAAGGAGAAGAAGAGGAAAGAAGAGCAAGGGGAAGCGGCUCCUUGCAUGGUAAGCAAUUUUGCAGUGUGAUCGUUUUCCCUUUUUUGAGCUAAUACAGAGACUGGUAAUAGGAAAAAUUCCCUUAAGCAAUGAGUUGAGGUAAUCUGCUUUUCUGGUUAAACCAUAAGAAGCACAUCAAAUUUGCCAGUUGUUUUCUUUCCCAGAGAGAGCAUGAAGUUUGGGUGUGGGAACUUGGGGAGAACACAGUUAACAGAUCAGAGCCUUACCCUUUUAUAUCUGUAAAGUGGGAGUAUUUAGACAUAAAGUUGUGGCCUGAGGAUUAAAUUAUAGAACAAGUGGGGAGUUCCUGUAGUGGCUCAGCAGAAACAAAUCUGACUAGUAUCCAUGAGGAUGCAAGUCAGGUUCGAUCUCUGGUCUUGCUCAGUGGGUUAAGGAUCCAGCAUUGCUGUGAGCUAUGGUGUAGGUCCCAGACAUGGCUCCGAUCUGGCAUGGCUGUGGCUGUGGUGCAGGCCAGCCACUACAACUCCAGUUUGACCCCUGGCCUGGAAACCUCCAUAUGCUGUGAGUGUGGCCCU
RNAcentral lists this long non-coding RNA (3648 nucleotides) under Sus scrofa (pig). Its description in RNAcentral is "lncRNA (ENSSSCG00060031625.1)". Lineage: Eukaryota; Metazoa; Chordata; Mammalia; Artiodactyla; Suidae. The record is from RNAcentral.